This 809-nucleotide ribosomal RNA is filed under the name uncultured bacterium. Its description in RNAcentral is "bacterial SSU rRNA". It matches the Rfam family "Bacterial small subunit ribosomal RNA", at positions 62 to 861 of the family's 1533-position model. The record is from RNAcentral.
UCAGGGAGAAAGUCUCUUCGGGGAUGAUUAAACCGGCGCACGGGUGAGUAACACGUGAGUGACCUGCCUUUUAGACUGGAACAACUUACCGAAAGGUGAGCUAAUGCCGGAUGAGUUAUAUAAGUGCAUGUUUAUAUAGGAAAAGUUGGGGAGACCUGACGCUGAAAGAUGGACUCGCGUCCCAUUAGCUAGUUGGUAGGGUAAUGGCCUACCAAGGCGACGAUGGGUAGCCGGCCUGAGAGGGUGGCCGGCCACACUGGGACUGAGACACGGCCCAGACUCCUACGGGAGGCAGCAGUGGGGAAUUUUGCGCAAUGCUCGUAAGAGUGACGCAGCGACGCCGCGUGAAUGACGAAGGCCUUCGGGUCGUAAAGUUCUUUCGACAGGGAAGAAAAUGCCUAUAAGUAACUGUGUAUGUAUUGACGGUACCUGUAUAAGCAGCCCCGGCUAACUCCGUGCCAGCAGCCGCGGUAAUACGGAGGGGGCGAGCGUUGUUCGGAGUGACUGGGCGUAAAGAGCACGUAGGCGGUGUUGUAAGUCAUUAGUCAAAGACUAGAGCUCAACUUUAGUAAGGCUAGUGAUACUAUAAUACUAGAGUAUCAGAGAGGAUUGCAGAAUUCCUGGUGUAGCGGUGAAAUGCGUAGAUAUCAGGAGGAAUACCGUUAGCGAAGGCGGCAAUCUGGCUGGAAACUGACGCUGAGGUGCGAAAGCGUGGGUAGCAAACAGGAUUAGAUACCCUGGUAGUCCACGCUGUAAACGAUGGAUGCUAGGUGUUGGGCUUUUAAGUUCAGUGCCGCAGCAAACGCGAU